AUUCCACUGUGAUCUCUUUGGUCUCUCGCUUCCAAAGUGUAACACAGGUAUGAAGAACAUAUACGUAUAUUUAUCUCAAUCCUGUUUAGUUUAGAUGGGUGGAUUAUGUUACUUUACAUUUUAUUUAAUAUUGGAUUGCUGUUUUAUUCUGUGUUGAUCUAUGGAUGUGGGUACCCAGUCACAAAGAGACGGACACGACUAAACAACAACAACCCAGUGCGAUGCAGUGGAUAAACAAAGAGUCGGACACGACUAAACAACACCAACAAACCAGUGUGAUGCAGUGUAUAAGAGUGACAAACUGGGACUCUGGAGACCAGGGUUCGAAUCCCCAGCUGACCACGGAAACUCACUGACCACUCCUUAAAUAUCUCACUUGACUUGAGUGCCUUGUUAGGGUCUGCUAUAAAUCGGUUCCAACUUGAGGGCGCAUAACGAACAAUCUAUUGAUGCAACAGCUGCUUGCAACUGGUUGUAUUGCUUUUGAAUGGAUGUCUUUGUUGUUUGGUGUAUCGCUGAGACGCUUUGGCCAUCGUGGGCGGGAAAAGCGGAAUAAGAAGGUACAGGCAAUGACGUCACUUUAUCUCCUCACAGGAUGGUUUCCACCAAACUUGAACAGGUUGGAGAGAUAGAGUUUGUCCAGCUGGUGCCACUGACCACUCCGAGGGCCGUCGUUAGCCGUUUUUUCUACAUGUGCUUGGUUCUCGCUGGAGCCCAGUUCGUGCACCUGGAACAGAGCGAGCCGUACGGACGGAUCCUCCUUCAGCCGGGGGCUCGUUUCCCCCUGAGCUAGCCACCCCCUGCGGCUCCCGUUCCUGCCUGAUCGCACGCACCAGGAGAGUUGAGGGUGCGCAGAGUCUCCUGCCCUCCCACCCCGCAAGGAGGGGGAGCGAUCCGGUACUCCAGGGCUUGAGAGAGAGAGAGAGAGAGAGUCUUCCUGUUCCAAACCUUUUAGAGUCGGCAAGAUGCAUUUAUGGAUCGAGAGCCAUUAAGAAUCCUUGUUUCCUACCUAAUUGAAUAAAGAUGUUCUGCGUUAAUAUAGCCUUUCCGAC
RNAcentral lists this long non-coding RNA (1052 nucleotides) under Pogona vitticeps (central bearded dragon). Its description in RNAcentral is "lncRNA (ENSPVIG00000022787.1)". The record is from RNAcentral. Lineage: Eukaryota; Metazoa; Chordata; Lepidosauria; Squamata; Agamidae.